Plodia interpunctella (Indianmeal moth) is the source of this 1432-nucleotide long non-coding RNA. RefSeq lists it as uncharacterized. NCBI's taxonomy places the organism in Eukaryota, Metazoa, Arthropoda, Insecta, Lepidoptera, Pyralidae. The record is from RefSeq and is a predicted model, not a curated record. The transcript is spliced from 2 exons.
GAGACAGGUGUCGGUGGCUCAAGGUCAGUUCAUUCAGUCGUCGUUUUCUACGUGUUUAACCGGCUGGGAAGACAGGUGGAGUUUUGUGCUAAAUAUCGUACCGUGACCUGUAAAAUUGAUAUGAAACACCUAGCGGAACACUGGGCCACAUACCUAAUCACAUAAGGACUCUUAUAGAUUUGAUUCACUUUGCUAUUCUAUACUAAUUUUAGUUUAGAAAUAGGAAAAGUUUAUUUGGAGCAUAAAACAUAGUAAAGCAUAAUUUCAUUUAUUUAGGACCAUAUUUCGUGACCUGACUAAAAGAAAAUUAAUUAGUAAUGUUCUUGUAUCUGUGUAAAAGUAAGAAAUUAAUCUACUAACGCCAUCUACUGUUGAAUAGAGCACAUUUGGUUUGUUCAUGAAAUUAGUAAGUUCUCCGACGGAGUACUAAUUCCAAGGGUUUGUCCAGUUAGUCCUAAAAGUAUGAAAUUGGAAACGUGCACAUGAGAGAGAGAUAUAUAGUCUGUUUGCGGUAGUGGACUAAACGUUAGGAAACUUGGAAAUAAACUGCAGCUUUUGAAUUCCAAAUUUACUAUUUUUCACAAUAUAAAUACAAAAAUACAUACAUCAUGACAUAUACCUAUGUAAUUAUUUUAAUAAAUCACUAAACCAUACAGUUUUCAGGUUUUAAUUUUUGCGGAUAUUAAGAAAAUAACUAUAUAAGGGGCUAUGCAUUAUCGCGAUACAGUUUGCCGUAUUUGGCGGAUCAGUAUACAGUGGUGGUUUUGUAUUGCGAUAAAUAAAAGCUCUAUCAUACAAAUGUGUUCAUUUAUCCGCGUCGGCAUGUGAGUUCGGUAAUGAGUAGCCGGUAUUGUCAGCGAUCGUGACGCCGAGUCUACGGGACUCAUCGUGGCACCAGACAUUUACAUGCACCGGCAUAACGCAUACAUGCGCGAAACGUGGCAAGAUCGACCCGAUAGCUCUUUCCCCCUUUGUGCGGACAUUAGUCAACGGAUCAACGCAACUGAUGUGCAAACGUCAAAGCAAGUAAAACAAUGGAACGGCAACGCGCUGCGUCGACGCAACGAAGAACGACGGAGCAAUAGGACCUGCAAAUGCAUUCUGUCUGCACCAGGGAGUUCAGAAUGUAUAUCCACUACAUGGUGUUUUAAUAAAUAUUAUGUACUCAUGGUCGACUCUCAGACACUCCAUUCCCAUAAAAAUAGAGGAGAAAUAUACUAGUGAAAAUAUAUAAACAACAAUUGAUUGAUAUUUCCAGGAUGUUAAACUUACACAACUCAAGCUAUAGACAUAUAUCAUAAAACUGAAACUAAUUUUCUGGGCAGUUGUAACUUCAGAGGGUAACUAUCAAAAUGACUAUCGAUUCCACAUUAUAAAUAGAAGAUGUCAUUUAAUAAAGUAUUAAUAAAGUAGACUUUAGAUUAGAACUAUC